UACGUAGGGUGCAGGCGUUAAUCGGAAUUACUGGGCGUAAAGCGUGCGCAGGCGGUUUCUUAAGUCAGAUGUGAAAUCCCCGGGCUCAACCUGGGAAUUGCAUUUGUGACUGCACGGCUAGAGUGUGUCAGAGGGGGGUAGAAUUCCACGUGUAGCAGUGAAAUGCGUAGAGAUGUGGAGGAAUACCGAUGGCGAAGGCAGCCCCCUGGGAUAACACUGACGCUCAUGCACGAAAGCGUGGGGAGCAAACAGG
This 253-nucleotide ribosomal RNA is filed under the name uncultured bacterium. RNAcentral's name for it is "partial 16S ribosomal RNA". It matches the Rfam family "Bacterial small subunit ribosomal RNA", at positions 524 to 776 of the family's 1533-position model. The record is from RNAcentral.